UACGUAGGUGGCAAGCGUUGUUCGGAAUUAUUGGGCGUAAAGGGCGCGUAGGCGGUUUGUUAAGUCGGUUGUGAAAGCCCGGGGCUCAACCCCGGAGGGUCAGCCGAUACUGGCAGACUAGAGUACGGAAGAGGUAGCUGGAAUUCCCGGUGUAGCGGUGAAAUGCGUAGAUAUCAGGAGGAACACCGGUGGCGAAGGCGGGUCUCUGGGCCGAUACUGACGCUGAGGAGCGAAAGCGUGGGGAGCGAACAGG
This 253-nucleotide ribosomal RNA is filed under the name uncultured bacterium. RNAcentral describes it as "partial 16S ribosomal RNA". It matches the Rfam family "Bacterial small subunit ribosomal RNA", at positions 524 to 776 of the family's 1533-position model. The record is from RNAcentral.